Molecule: transfer RNA, 74 nt
Filed under: Streptomyces phage Yaboi
Lineage: Duplodnaviria; Heunggongvirae; Uroviricota; Caudoviricetes; Stanwilliamsviridae
Also listed under: 5 other names
Description: tRNA-Met
Rfam family: tRNA
About the family: Transfer RNA (tRNA) molecules are approximately 80 nucleotides in length. Their secondary structure includes four short double-helical elements and three loops (D, anti-codon, and T loops).
Source: RNAcentral
GGCUCGAUGGUGAAAGCGGUUAUCACGCAUCUCUCAUAAAGAUGUAUUCCGGGUUCGAAUCCCGGUUGAGCUAC